This 616-nucleotide ribosomal RNA is filed under the name uncultured bacterium. RNAcentral describes it as "bacterial SSU rRNA". It matches the Rfam family "Bacterial small subunit ribosomal RNA", at positions 65 to 692 of the family's 1533-position model. The record is from RNAcentral.
AACGGGGGCAGGAGGAAACCUGGUGAAUCCUGCCCUAGUGGCGGACGGGUGAGUAACGCGUGGGCAACCUGCCGCAUACCGGGGGAUAACACUUAGAAAUAGGUGCUAAUACCGCAUAAGCGCACAGAGCCGCAUGGCUUGGUGUGAAAAACUCCGGUGGUAUGCGAUGGGCCCGCGUCUGAUUAGCUUGUUGGCGGGGCAGCGGCCCACCAAGGCGACGAUCAGUAGCCGGCCUGAGAGGGUGGACGGCCACAUUGGGACUGAGACACGGCCCAGACUCCUACGGGAGGCAGCAGUGGGGAAUAUUGCACAAUGGGGGGAACCCUGAUGCAGCGACGCCGCGUGAGUGAAGAAGUAUUUCGGUAUGUAAAGCUCUAUCAGCAGGGAAGAAAAUGACGGUACCUGACUAAGAAGCCCCGGCUAACUACGUGCCAGCAGCCGCGGUAAUACGUAGGGGGCAAGCGUUAUCCGGAUUUACUGGGUGUAAAGGGAGCGCAGACGGCUGUGCAAGUCUGGAGUGAAAGGCGGGGGCCCAACCCCCGGACUGCUCUGGAAACUGUAAAGCUGGAGUGCAGGAGAGGUAAGCGGAAUUCCUAGUGUAGCGGUGAAAUGCGUA